AUCAUGUCCUCCCAGCGCCUGCACAGACCAGUAACUUUACAGCCAUGCUCUUCGCUCUGGCGAUUGCCGGCGCUGCAUUCUUGCUCCUGCUCAAGCUUGUCUCCCGCAUUGUCGUGAACCUCACCAGCCUGCUGCUUGGUCAUUGCACCUAGUACCUCGCCGAAGGGAGAGCUAACGAUGCGGGUACAGUCGUGGAAGCCAUACAUCAGCGGUACCCUCAGGAGUCGACACUCACCGGCAGCCGAGUACAGAGUGGGCAGCCAGUCGAUCAAGUGCACGGGUCGUGACAUAACCACGCGGGAACCGGGCUCGAGCAGCGGGCUCCACACCAGCGCCGGUACACGGACUCCUCCUUCCCACAGCGUGCCCUUGACGCCUCGCAGCGGCCAGUUGGAGCCAGUGUUCGAGAACGUUCCCCACGGGCCUCGACGAUGCGGCCGACGGACUCGUCCAAUGCGUCCACCGCGCCUGGUGAGAGCCAGCCGUAACAUGCUAGGUUUAGCUUGACGUACUCGUAAUGUGACCAAAGGAGGUUAUUGCAGCCGCUAGGGUAAGCAUCAAACGUAAACUGAAACGGAUUCGUCAUCUACAACAACUGUAAAGGACACCAAGAAAAGACAGCCGUAUUUGUUCGAAUAAAGGUCGACGUUGUUUCUUUGUU
Dermacentor albipictus is the source of this 661-nucleotide long non-coding RNA. RefSeq lists it as uncharacterized. The record is from RefSeq and is a predicted model, not a curated record. NCBI's taxonomy places the organism in Eukaryota, Metazoa, Arthropoda, Arachnida, Ixodida, Ixodidae.